CCUAUCUGGACUAUUCAUCAAAACGUAUGUAUCGCUGUGAUGGUCAUAAAGUUGUCGGCAAAAUAUGAUUAUUGCAUGGGGAGGCGGUAGUAAUAAGACGGACGUCAGUUUCUCUAUGUGUGUCAAUGGUACCGACUUGCCGCCGAAAUAACAUCACACAACAUCCCGGGAGGAACUAUCAAAAGCAUGUACGCCAUCCGAUAAAGCAAAU
Non-coding RNA from Caenorhabditis elegans, 211 nucleotides. The record is from Ensembl. Lineage: Eukaryota; Metazoa; Nematoda; Chromadorea; Rhabditida; Rhabditidae.